GAACGCUGGCGGCGUGCCUAAUACAUGCAAGUCGAACGAACUCUGGUAUUGAUUGGUGCUUGCAUCAUGAUUUACAUUUGAGUGAGUGGCGAACUGGUGAGUAACACGUGGGAAACCUGCCCAGAAGCGGGGGAUAACACCUGGAAACAGAUGCUAAUACCGCAUAACAACUUGGACCGCAUGGUCCGAGUUUGAAAGAUGGCUUCGGCUAUCACUUUUGGAUGGUCCCGCGGCGUAUUAGCUAGAUGGUGGGGUAACGGCUCACCAUGGCAAUGAUACGUAGCCGACCUGAGAGGGUAAUCGGCCACAUUGGGACUGAGACACGGCCCAAACUCCUACGGGAGGCAGCAGUAGGGAAUCUUCCACAAUGGACGAAAGUCUGAUGGAGCAACGCCGCGUGAGUGAAGAAGGGUUUCGGCUCGUAAAACUCUGUUGUUAAAGAAGAACAUAUCUGAGAGUAACUGUUCAGGUAUUGACGGUAUUUAACCAGAAAGCCACGGCUAACUACGUGCCAGCAGCCGCGGUAAUACGUAGGUGGCAAGCGUUGUCCGGAUUUAUUGGGCGUAAAGCGAGCGCAGGCGGUUUUUUAAGUCUGAUGUGAAAGCCUUCGGCUCAACCGAAGAAGUGCAUCGGAAACUGGGAAACUUGAGUGCAGAAGAGGACAGUGGAACUCCAUGUGUAGCGGUGAAAUGCGUAGAUAUAUGGAAGAACACCAGUGGCGAAGGCGGCUGUCUGGUCUGUAACUGACGCUGAGGCUCGAAAGUAUGGGUAGCAAACAGGAUUAGAUACCCUGGUAGUCCAUACCGUAAACGAUGAAUGCUAAGUGUUGGAGGGUUUCCGCCCUUCAGUGCUGCAGCUAACGCAUUAAGCAUUCCGCCUGGGGAGUACGGCCGCAAGGCUGAAACUCAAAGGAAUUGACGGGGGCCCGCACAAGCGGUGGAGCAUGUGGUUUAAUUCGAAGCUACGCGAAGAACCUUACCAGGUCUUGACAUACUAUGCAAAUCUAAGAGAUUAGACGUUCCCUUCGGGGACAUGGAUACAGGUGGUGCAUGGUUGUCGUCAGCUCGUGUCGUGAGAUGUUGGGUUAAGUCCCGCAACGAGCGCAACCCUUAUUAUCAGUUGCCAGCAUUAAGUUGGGCACUCUGGUGAGACUGCCGGUGACAAACCGGAGGAAGGUGGGGAUGACGUCAAAUCAUCAUGCCCCUUAUGACCUGGGCUACACACGUGCUACAAUGGAUGGUACAACGAGUUGCGAACUCGCGAGAGUAAGCUAAUCUCUUAAAGCCAUUCUCAGUUCGGAUUGUAGGCUGCAACUCGCCUACAUGAAGUCGGAAUCGCUAGUAAUCGCGGAUCAGCAUGCCGCGGUGAAUACGUUCCCGGGCCUUGUACACACCGCCCGUCACACCAUGAGAGUUUGUAACACCCAAAGUCGGUGGGGUAACCUUUUAGGAACCAGCCGCC
This 1461-nucleotide ribosomal RNA is filed under the name Lactiplantibacillus plantarum. RNAcentral's name for it is "bacterial SSU rRNA". It matches the Rfam family "Bacterial small subunit ribosomal RNA". The record is from RNAcentral. Lineage: Bacteria; Bacillati; Bacillota; Bacilli; Lactobacillales; Lactobacillaceae.